AUUAGAGUUUGAUCAUGGCUCAGAACGAACGUUAGCGGUGUGGAUUAGGCAUGCAAGUCGCGCGCGAAAGCCUUCGGGCGAGUAAAGCGGCGAAAGGGUGAGUAACACGUAACCAACGUACCCUUCAGAUCGGGAUAACCACUGGAAACGGUGGAUAAUACCGAAUGGUCCCCCCGGAGACAUCUCCGGGAAGGUAAACGGCGGCUUCGGCUGCUGCUGAGGGAGCGGGUUGCGGCCUAUCAGCUUGUUGGUGGGGUAACGGCCUACCAAGGCUACGACGGGUAGCGGGUCUGAGAGGAUGAUCCGUCACACUGGGACUGAGACACUGCCCAGACUCCUACGGGAGGCUGCAGUCGAGAAUCUUCCGCAAUGGGCGAAAGCCUGACGGAGCGACACCGCGUGCAGGAUGAAGGCCUUCGGGUUGUAAACUGCUGUCACGCAAUAGGAAUGGCGUGUCGUUAAUAGCGGCACGCUUGACCAAAGCGAGAGGAAGAGCCGGCUAACUCCGUGCCAGCAGCCGCGGUAAGACGGAGGGCUCUAACGUUGUUCGGAAUCACUGGGCAUAAAGCGCACGUAGGCGGCUUGCUAAGUCGGAUGUGAAAGCCCCCGGCUCAACCGGGGAACUGCAUCCGAUACUGGCAGGCUCGAGGACGGCAGGGGUAAGUGGAACUCCAGGUGGAACGGUGAAAUGUGUAGAUAUCUGGAGGAACACCGGUGGCGAAAGCGGCUUACUGGGCCGUCUCUGACGCUGAGGUGCGAAAGCUAGGGUAGCGAACGGGAUUAGAUACCCCGGUAGUCCUAGCCGUAAACGAUGGGCAGGCAAUGGGGCUACCUAUGGGUUUCACUGCCGUAGCUAAUGUGUUAAGUGCCCCGCCUGGGGAGUACGCUCGCAAGGGUAAAACUCAAAGGAAUUGACGGGGGAUCACACAAGCGGUGGAGCAUGUGGUUUAAUUCGAAGCAACGCGAAGAACCUUAUCCUGGGCUUGACAUGUAUGGAUGCCCAUCUGGAAACAGAGUAGGCUGCCCUUCGGGGUGAAACUUACACAGGUGCUGCAUGGCUGUCGUCAGCUCGUGUCGUGAGAUGUCGGGUUAAGUCCCUUAACGAGCGAAACCCUUAUCGUUAGUUGCCAGCGCGUAAUGGCGGGAACUCUAGCAAGACUGCCGGUGUUAAACCGGAGGAAGGCGGGGAUGACGUCAAGUCCUCAUGGCCUUUAUGCCCAGGGCUGCACACGUGCUACAAUGGUAUGGAUAGACCGACGCAAGACCGCGAGGUGGAGCAAAUCGGAGAAAGCCGGCCCCAGUUCGGAUCGCAGUCUGCAACUCGACUGCGUGAAGUUGGAAUCGCUAGUAAUCGUAGAUCAGCUAUGCUACGGUGAAUGUGUUCCUGAGCCCUGUAGACACCGCCCGU
Molecule: ribosomal RNA, 1408 nt
Filed under: uncultured prokaryote
Description: partial 16S ribosomal RNA
Rfam family: Bacterial small subunit ribosomal RNA
Source: RNAcentral